GGACAAAGAGAGAUGCUAAUCUUGAACAGUUAGCUUCAACUGUCCACAAACUGUCCACAGAAACAGAGAGAGGGGCAAGGAAGGCAGGCAAGAAAGAACAAGGAAGGAAUAUGAAGCAGUUAAAGGGGCCGUAGUAUGUCCCAGAAAGUAGACAAUACUGUGUGGAGCCAAGGCUAGAGGGGCAAUCAGCCCCACAACAAUAAGGGUGGAGACAGAGCCCAACUACAAACAACGGCCCCAAUGGCGAAGGCCCUACUCCAGUCUGGCUAAGCUCCACCGCCUGCAGGGGCAACCAGCAGGGCAGCGCAGAGCUCCACUGUGUGGAUAUCGAUCGCACAGGAGAAAGUGGGGAGCCAAGCAGGCAACUCCACAGAUGGCCAGGGCAGUGAAGGAGACAGAAACAGACAGAGGAAGUGCAUUAGUGAGGCAGGUUCCUCUGAUGCUGUUAGCGCUUCCCCCUGGGAGAUAAGAGAGAUGUUGAUGACAUGGUUUUAGAGAGGACAGCUUUUAAAAAAAAAAAAAGAAAAGAAAAGAAAGACACAGAGAGAGACGGGGGACCUAACAGAGAAUCUAAAGCUAAUUUGUAACUUGAAGAGCUGCUGGAUCAUCUCCAUAAUGGGCCGUCUGCCCACAAACAAGCUCCUCUCAGGGGGUAAAUGAGAUCAGGCCAGCCCAGGACCAGCUGGUGGCUUGGAUCAAUGACACCAGAUAGACCAGAUACAGAGACAGGGGAAGAGACCAGAACCGAGGCAUCUGGAGAGAAGGGCAGAAACGCUGCUGCCCAAGAGGCUCUGGUGCUCUCUUGAGAUUCACAGAGGGGGGACACGGACAUCCGCACGCAAUGUACAACCGGAACGUCUCUGUCCUUAAGAGGAUUAUGCCGUCACGUUUUAAGUGGAAUGUGGCACGUUCCAGAUGGAAUCUGAUCUCUUGCAGGAUGGCAGACAGGUUGCAUGGUCAGGCUGAUCUGCACCUACAAAAUACAUCCUUCUGAGAAGCACACAUCUGGCCUUAAAACGGCACAUCUGUCCAGGACAGAGACACUUAUUUGAGCAAUUCAUAGGAAGUUGGUGAUUUAUGUUAGAGCAAAGAAUGAAAAAGGCAAAGCAAGAUUUAUGUCAACAGGGUAAACUGAUAUGACUGAGAAAUAAAUUGGCUGUUACAGCUGCUUAUGGUAAGCACCAGUGUCAGGCCCAAAUGCCUAUCAUUCCUGUUGAGCCUGCGGUGAGGGUAGGCUGGCUAGACACUAAUAUAAUCUUGACCAGUUUAGCCACAAACACACGGCAAUGGCGAUGUAUGGACGACGACAUUGACUCCAUUAUCUCAGAGCCAAAAUUGUUAGAGGAGAUUGGAUGACUAAGGAUAGAGCAACCAUCAGUCUGGACCAAUUUUUUAACUAUAUCGGUGACCAGAUUGCACCAAAACGCAAAAAAAAAAAAAAAAAUCAAGGCGCCACAAACACAAUGUGCAAUGACAAAUCUGGUCUUGAAGCCUAGCAACAGGGCUGUGAACCAUGUCCAUUAUCCAGCCUCCCACCAGAGGAAUUCAGAGAGCCCAAACACAGCAAAUUACUGCAGCUGCUGGCAAAUACAGUCUCAAAACCACGUCGCCAGUUGCCAACUGCAUGCCCUGACAACUGCGACGCCACCAACCAAGGCUGCUAUCAAGGCUAGAGCAGCUAGACGACAGCAAAGUUUAUCUCUUCUUUGUCCUCACUGUGAAAAUUCAAUGCGGUGCCCGUGGCGGUUUCCUCAAACCUCAAUCAGCCAGCAAACAAAAGGAAAUGCAGCCAAACAUACUGUUUCUGUUGGUGUUUUGAUAAUCUCC
Long non-coding RNA from Astatotilapia calliptera (eastern happy), 1827 nucleotides. Lineage: Eukaryota; Metazoa; Chordata; Actinopteri; Cichliformes; Cichlidae. The record is from Ensembl.